CGUAGGUGGUAGUGUAAGUCUGAGGUGGAAUCCUAUGGCUUAACCAUAGAACUGCCUUGGAUACUGUAUUACUUGAGUCAGUGAGGGGAGGGUAGAAUUCCUGGUGUAGCGGUGAAAUGCGUAGAUAUCAGGAGGAAGGCCUGUGGCGAAGGCGGCCCUCUGGCGCUGGACUGACACUGAGGCGCGAAAGCGUGGGGAGCAAACAGGAUUAGAUACCCUGGUAGUCCACGCCCUAAACGGUGGGCACUAGGUGUAGGGCUCGUAAGGGUUCUGUGCCGAAGGGAAACCAUUAAGUGCCCCGCCUGGGGAGUACGGCCGCAAGGUUGAA
This 328-nucleotide ribosomal RNA is filed under the name uncultured bacterium. RNAcentral's name for it is "bacterial SSU rRNA". It matches the Rfam family "Bacterial small subunit ribosomal RNA", at positions 570 to 898 of the family's 1533-position model. The record is from RNAcentral.